This 1209-nucleotide long non-coding RNA is filed under the name Papio anubis (olive baboon). RNAcentral describes it as "lncRNA (ENSPANG00000049598.1)". Lineage: Eukaryota; Metazoa; Chordata; Mammalia; Primates; Cercopithecidae. The record is from RNAcentral.
AUGUGUGGACAGAGCAGGGGACAGCAGUGUGUGGUGACACCACAGAGGACUGCUGGCUAUGUAUUCAGCUUUCCUCCUGCUUGGGUAGACAACACUGGGCCACGGUUCCCUGAGCUGGAUGAGGCUGGAGCGGCAGGGAUACAGAGGAGGGGCAGAAGGAGUGGGGGUGCCCCUCACUGCUCCCAAACACCAGCCUGGUGGGGCGGGCCUAGAGAGGGAGGAGAUGGAGAGGCCAGCAGGACCCUCUGCCUCUUUAUAGAAGAAGAGAAUCGGUCCCGUCGCCUUAGAGCCAGCGGCCCCAUGUUUACCCCUGCCCUACCUCAGGCCUGCCCUACCCUGCCCUACCUCAGGGGCGAGGUGAAUUCUACCCGGGAUGGUGUUGUCCAGAAGAAAACCCAGAAAUCCACCAACGAACAUGCCCAUGGUCAGCAGCACCUGAGCGACCUGGUGCAGCUGGAGAAUCCCUGGAGUGGAGACAAAGCGACACAUCCAUGGGGACCAGGGGCCAUGCGGGCUCUGCCCCUGGAGCAGAGACAGUCCAGAGGGCAGGGAACAGUCACCUGUCUGGAGCAUCUCGCGGUUCUUACUCACCCAGUUGGGAAUAGUGAGCCCACAGUAGAUGGAGAAGCCAAAGGCAAAGAGGCUCCUGGACGAGUUCAUGUCCACGUACUGCGGGAGACAGGACCCAGAGGCAGGCAGGGCGGUCAGCACCUUCACCGCUGGUUUGCAGAGGUCUGGAUGCUUCUGGCUGUUUCUUUGCUCCAUUUAGGGGCCGACGUAGUUUCUGGGACCCAGGACUCCCUUCUCCUCCUCCUCUGCCCCAGCUCCGUCCCAUCCAUCUCAAUCCCACCGGCUCCUCUCAGGAGAGGCGCUGCUGCUGGCGUCCCAAGAGCACCUCGCUCGCCUCACCUGCAGAUUGGAGAUCCCCAUAGCGGUGAUGACCCCAAACAUGACCAGGGACAUGCCUCCGAUCACGGGGGUGGGAUGGUGGCAAACGCAGCCCCAAUCUUCCCAAAUGUGCCCAUUAGGAGCAGCACACGGCCCACGGUGACAAUCACUGCCCGGCUCCCCACCUGCAGCAGCCAGGGACAGAGAGUGAGGAGCACCAGCCAGGCCAGGCGCCCCCAAGGCCUCUGCCCACUGCAGGAGCAGCACCACCCCAUCCCACACCGCUCUCUCUGCUCCCAAAGGGGGCUUGGGAAAGGAUGA